UGCGGUUAUACAAAAAUUAAAAUAAAUUUUUUUAAAAAUAAAUUAAUAAAAUAAUAUUUAAAAUUUAAAUUUUAAAUUAUUAAGUGAAAUUUUAAUUUAAUUAAAAAUUAUUUUAUAUUAUGAAUUAAUAAAUUUUAUUUAUAAACUAGGAUUAGAUACCCUAUUAUUAAAAAUUUAAAAUAAUAGUUUUAAAAUAGUAGAUAUAAUUAUAUUGAAACUUAAAUAAUUUGGCGGUAUUUUAGUUCAUUUAGAGGAAUCUGUCUAAUAAUUGAUAAUCCACGAAUAAAUUUACUUAAUUUAAUAUUUUGUAUAUCGUUGUUAAAAAAAUAUUUUAUAAUAAAAAUAAUAUUUAAAAAUUUAAAAUAAAAAUUAAAUCAGAUCAAGAUGCAGAUUAUAAUUAAGAAUAUGAUGGAUUACAAUAAAAUUAUUUAAGUGAAUAUUAAUUUGAAAAAAUUAAUUGAAAAUGGAUUUAAAUGUAAUUUUUAUUAAUUUAUAAAAAUGAUUAAAAAUUAAAAUAUGUACAUAUUGCCCGUCGCUUUCAUUUAUAAAUUGAAAUAAGUCGUAACAAAGUAGAGGUACUGGAAAGUGUUUCUAGAAAGAA
Molecule: ribosomal RNA, 601 nt
Filed under: Adscita geryon
Lineage: Eukaryota; Metazoa; Arthropoda; Insecta; Lepidoptera; Zygaenidae
Description: partial 12S ribosomal RNA
Source: RNAcentral